RNAcentral lists this ribosomal RNA (180 nucleotides) under uncultured bacterium. Its description in RNAcentral is "partial 16S ribosomal RNA". It matches the Rfam family "Bacterial small subunit ribosomal RNA", at positions 1321 to 1500 of the family's 1533-position model. The record is from RNAcentral.
UGAAGACUGGAAUUGCUAGUAAUGGCAGGUCAGCAUACUGCCGUGAAUACGUUCCCGGGCCUUGUACACACCGCCCGUCACACCAUGAGAGUUGGAAAUACCCGAAGCCUGUGAGCUAACUUAAAGAGGCAGCAGUCGAAGGUAGAGCCAAUGAUUGGGGUGAAGUCGUAACAAGGUAAC